CAAAACACAAACUGGAUGAUGUCACUGUAACCACCACAGUGACAGGAAGUGUUUUUAAAUGAUGAAACACUGAAAUGAUGCUGACGGCUGUCGUUAGCCUCACUGGUAGCAGUGCUGAUGUGUUCAUGUCAAACAGUGGCUCAGGUCAGACUCCUUCAUCCUUCUCCAGCGUGAGGCUGCCCUCAGACCCACAGGAGCUCUGACCUUUGACCUCCUGUGACCUUUAAAAAACAUUGUUGUUAUUUGAAGCUUUUGAUGUCCACAAGCAUCAGACCAGCUGCUUUAGUCUAGAAGUAUCAUAUUUAUUAAAAGUUAGUUAAUAACAAUAGUUAUUAAAGGCUCUUAGAAUUCUGUUUUUAUAUUUUUAUGAGCUCCCAGCUCUGUUUGAGCUGCCAGCUAAAAUAAAAGGAUGAAGCUGUUCUACAAGAACACAUCUGAGCUUAUGUUAAUGUGAUGAACACACAUUUAUGAUCAAAGUCCCUGUACAGUGACAGGGCAGUCAUGUCAUCAGCCCUGUAACGGACACAUCAGUGAUGUUUAUUUCUGGGUUUGAGCUUCAUACCUGGAUCAUGUUAUUUGUGUUGAACGUGUCACUGCAGAGCUGUCAGUAUGUGUGGAACUUGUCUUUAUUCCCUGAUGUAGGAACAUCUUUGACUUGUUUGAACAUUUUGUUCUGAGUUUAAAAUGAUAAAUGUUUGAAUCCAUGAGGAAAGUCAGAGUCUUUUCAGCUGCAGUAACAUGUUGAUGCUGUCCAUCAGCUCAGCUCCACCAAUGACCUUUAGACUGAGGUCACUUCCUGUAACAGAGUCCUUCAAAGGCUGAUGACAUCACAGCGAUCCAAAGGUUCCUACAAACGUGUCCUUCUUCUUCUCUGGGAUCUGAAGCAUCAGGUUAACACGCUCUACUGAGCUCUGGGAGGAGAAUCAGUUUCCCAGUUUCACCAGUUGAGACGCAGAACCUCAGCUGGUCUUUGUAAUCUAUUUGAUGAUGUGACAGCAGGCCCAGCAUGUCCAAAGACUGAUGGCACAACGACUGUGAGCAUGGACGCCGACUUUGGCCUUGGAAGAAAAAGUAUUACUGAGCGCUUGGAUGGAAACAUCAUGUUUGUAAGAGACAAAGAUGUAGAAGAAUAUCUGCUGUCACAUCCUGAUAGCUGGAAACCAGCUGAGCUGAGGAAAUGUUGAAGGAAACUUCGUGUCACUGCUCCAUCACUAGUGAGAUUCCGUUCCCAGAUGGAAGAGGAAUUAUGUCAUGAAACUGGUUAAACUCAACCAGCUCAGCAAACAGAGAGUGCUCUUCAAACAGCUGACAGACACGACCACAUUACAAGAAGAUGGUGUCAGUCCAAUUUGAUUUUCCAGUUAACGCUGAGAGACCUUGAUCAGGAAGUCAGAGGUCAACUGAUGCUACGAGCAGGAAAGGAUCGCUCUACUCAAUGUCAAAAGAAAACAUCCUGGGAAGCUGUGGUUGCUUCUUAGACUAUCAUGACCUGGAUGACUGAGAACCUACGCAGACACGUUCUGAGGGAAGGACUCCACAC
Long non-coding RNA from Oreochromis niloticus (Nile tilapia), 1540 nucleotides. RefSeq lists it as uncharacterized. Lineage: Eukaryota; Metazoa; Chordata; Actinopteri; Cichliformes; Cichlidae. The record is from RefSeq and is a predicted model, not a curated record. The transcript is spliced from 6 exons.